RNAcentral lists this ribosomal RNA (2052 nucleotides) under Escherichia coli. RNAcentral describes it as "partial 23S ribosomal RNA". It matches the Rfam family "Bacterial large subunit ribosomal RNA", at positions 139 to 2215 of the family's 2925-position model. The record is from RNAcentral. Lineage: Bacteria; Pseudomonadati; Pseudomonadota; Gammaproteobacteria; Enterobacterales; Enterobacteriaceae.
UUCGACACACUAUCAUUAACUGAAUCCAUAGGUUAAUGAGGCGAACCGGGGGAACUGAAACAUCUAAGUACCCCGAGGAAAAGAAAUCAACCGAGAUUCCCCCAGUAGCGGCGAGCGAACGGGGAGCAGCCCAGAGCCUGAAUCAGUGUGUGUGUUAGUGGAAGCGUCUGGAAAGGCGCGCGAUACAGGGUGACAGCCCCGUACACAAAAAUGCACAUGCUGUGAGCUCGAUGAGUAGGGCGGGACACGUGGUAUCCUGUCUGAAUAUGGGGGGACCAUCCUCCAAGGCUAAAUACUCCUGACUGACCGAUAGUGAACCAGUACCGUGAGGGAAAGGCGAAAAGAACCCCGGCGAGGGGAGUGAAAAAGAACCUGAAACCGUGUACGUACAAGCAGUGGGAGCACGCUUAGGCGUGUGACUGCGUACCUUUUGUAUAAUGGGUCAGCGACUUAUAUUCUGUAGCAAGGUUAACCGAAUAGGGGAGCCGAAGGGAAACCGAGUCUUAACUGGGCGUUAAGUUGCAGGGUAUAGACCCGAAACCCGGUGAUCUAGCCAUGGGCAGGUUGAAGGUUGGGUAACACUAACUGGAGGACCGAACCGACUAAUGUUGAAAAAUUAGCGGAUGACUUGUGGCUGGGGGUGAAAGGCCAAUCAAACCGGGAGAUAGCUGGUUCUCCCCGAAAGCUAUUUAGGUAGCGCCUCGUGAAUUCAUCUCCGGGGGUAGAGCACUGUUUCGGCAAGGGGGUCAUCCCGACUUACCAACCCGAUGCAAACUGCGAAUACCGGAGAAUGUUAUCACGGGAGACACACGGCGGGUGCUAACGUCCGUCGUGAAGAGGGAAACAACCCAGACCGCCAGCUAAGGUCCCAAAGUCAUGGUUAAGUGGGAAACGAUGUGGGAAGGCCCAGACAGCCAGGAUGUUGGCUUAGAAGCAGCCAUCAUUUAAAGAAAGCGUAAUAGCUCACUGGUCGAGUCGGCCUGCGCGGAAGAUGUAACGGGGCUAAACCAUGCACCGAAGCUGCGGCAGCGACGCUUAUGCGUUGUUGGGUAGGGGAGCGUUCUGUAAGCCUGUGAAGGUGUGCUGUGAGGCAUGCUGGAGGUAUCAGAAGUGCGAAUGCUGACAUAAGUAACGAUAAAGCGGGUGAAAAGCCCGCUCGCCGGAAGACCAAGGGUUCCUGUCCAACGUUAAUCGGGGCAGGGUGAGUCGACCCCUAAGGCGAGGCCGAAAGGCGUAGUCGAUGGGAAACAGGUUAAUAUUCCUGUACUUGGUGUUACUGCGAAGGGGGGACGGAGAAGGCUAUGUUGGCCGGGCGACGGUUGUCCCGGUUUAAGCGUGUAGGCUGGUUUUCCAGGCAAAUCCGGAAAAUCAAGGCUGAGGCGUGAUGACGAGGCACUACGGUGCUGAAGCAACAAAUGCCCUGCUUCCAGGAAAAGCCUCUAAGCAUCAGGUAACAUCAAAUCGUACCCCAAACCGACACAGGUGGUCAGGUAGAGAAUACCAAGGCGCUUGAGAGAACUCGGGUGAAGGAACUAGGCAAAAUGGUGCCGUAACUUCGGGAGAAGGCACGCUGAUAUGUAGGUGAAGUCCCUUGCGGAUGGAGCUGAAAUCAGUCGAAGAUACCAGCUGGCUGCAACUGUUUAUUAAAAACACAGCACUGUGCAAACACGAAAGUGGACGUAUACGGUGUGACGCCUGCCCGGUGCCGGAAGGUUAAUUGAUGGGGUUAGCGCAAGCGAAGCUCUUGAUCGAAGCCCCGGUAAACGGCGGCCGUAACUAUAACGGUCCUAAGGUAGCGAAAUUCCUUGUCGGGUAAGUUCCGACCUGCACGAAUGGCGUAAUGAUGGCCAGGCUGUCUCCACCCGAGACUCAGUGAAAUUGAACUCGCUGUGAAGAUGCAGUGUACCCGCGGCAAGACGGAAAGACCCCGUGAACCUUUACUAUAGCUUGACACUGAACAUUGAGCCUUGAUGUGUAGGAUAGGUGGGAGGCUUUGAAGUGUGGACGCCAGUCUGCAUGGAGCCGACCUUGAAAUACCACCCUUUAAUGUUU